RNAcentral lists this long non-coding RNA (327 nucleotides) under Manihot esculenta (cassava). Its description in RNAcentral is "long non-coding RNA (MESC_LNC005846)". Lineage: Eukaryota; Viridiplantae; Streptophyta; Magnoliopsida; Malpighiales; Euphorbiaceae. The record is from RNAcentral.
CCCUACAUCUAACUAAUCCCAACAUGUCCUAACCAUAAAAUAAAAAACAAAAGUAUGCGUGUCAUCCUCCUCUAGGUUGCAAAUGUUAUAUCUAAGAUCCAAAUCAAUUCUUGGCCAACUCAAAUUCACUUUGAAGAAAAUACUUUUAAUAACUCUACAGGUAAAAAUCUUAAAUUUGAGAGGAUUUUUAACUGUAAAAUUAUAAUUUCAAUUAUCAGGAAUAAAGAAAUAAGCCAAUACUACUGAAAAAUUAACAAGCAAAUGAAAUUCAUAUUUAAUUGCAUAAAUACCAGAGUGAGAACUAAAUCCUUUUAUCAAUAUGAUUCA